AGCGGCGUAAGGGGCAGUAAUACCUGGGAACGUACCCUGAGGUCGGGGAUAGCUGCUGGAAACGGCGAGUAAUACCCGAUGAUCUCGCGAGAGCAAAGGCUUGCCGCCUUCGGAGCGGCCCAGGCGAUAUUAGCUAGUUGGUGAGGUAACGGCUUACCAAGGCAUAGAUGUCUAGCGGGUGUGAGAGCACGACCCGCGCCACUGGCACUGAGACACUGGCCAGACACCUACGGGUGGCUGCAGUCGAGAAUCUUCGGCAAUGAGCGCAAGCUUGACCGAGCGACGCCGCGUGCGGGAUGAAGGCCUUCGGGUUGUAAACCGCUUUGGUCCGAGAGAAAGGGUAAAACUUGAUCGAUCGGAGAAACAAGGACGGGCUAAGUUCGUGCCAGCAGCCGCGGUAAGACGAACCGUCCAAACGUUAUUCGGAAUCACUGGGCUUAAAGGGCGCGUAGGCGGCCGAGCGGGUCGCGGGUGAAAUCCUCCAGCUUAACUGGAGAACUGCCCUCGAUACCACUGCGGCUCGAGGAAGGAAGGGGUCAUGGGAACUGUCGGUGGAGCGGUGAAAUGCGUUGAUAUCGACAGGAACGCCUGUGGCGAAAGCGCAUGACUGGUCCUUUUCUGACGCUGAGGCGCGAAAGCCAGGGGAGCAAACGGGAUUAGAUACCCCGGUAGUCCUGGCCUUAAACGAUGAGAACUAGGU
This 700-nucleotide ribosomal RNA is filed under the name uncultured bacterium. RNAcentral's name for it is "bacterial SSU rRNA". It matches the Rfam family "Bacterial small subunit ribosomal RNA", at positions 94 to 821 of the family's 1533-position model. The record is from RNAcentral.